This is a long non-coding RNA of Bombus terrestris (buff-tailed bumblebee), 1956 nucleotides long. RefSeq annotates it as histone acetyltransferase p300. The record is from RefSeq and is a predicted model, not a curated record. Lineage: Eukaryota; Metazoa; Arthropoda; Insecta; Hymenoptera; Apidae. The transcript is spliced from 2 exons.
AUGACUGUGAUACAAAAUAGUACAGUUAGAGGAACCACAGGUUCCAUUGACUCUACUGGCUCUACAAAUGUUAUAGGUGAUCAAGAAGGUGGUAUGGCACAACGAGCUCAACCACUUGUUCCAAAUCAAGCUCAACCUGCUACAAAAUCAAUUGCAGAUUCAAAAAAACACAAAUUUAUUCAGCAAUAACUAGUUCUUCUACUUUAUGCACAUAAGUAUUAACAAUGCAAAAGUCAAGCAAACUGUGAAGUUUGGUCAUGUUCAUUGCCAGAUUAUAAAACUAUGAAAAAUUUAUUGACUGAUAUGACUGCUUGUCAAGCAGAACAAAGCAGUACGAUGUCAAACUGUAGAUCUUUGAGGCAAAUUAUUAGUCAUUGGAAACAUUGCAAUUAUAACGUUUCUCGUGUAUGUUUACCUCCAAAGUAAUCAAACAAAAAUAAAACUAAUAAAAUUCAAAUCCAUCAAACUAAAAUGAGAAGAACAUAUCAUGUGUUGUUCAUGUCCUAUUACAACAGCUAGUUUAGUAGCUGCACGAUGUAUUAUUGAAGGAAUGCCAACACGAAGCAUAUAAGGAGCACCUGGUGCAAUAGGAAAUGCUAGAUUAUCUCAACUUACUUCAAAUAUAUCUUUUUCUCUAAAUUGUGAUCCUAAUACAGUUACAGUUGCUGGUAAUCCAGCAAUACUUACCAGUCCUAUGUUUGCUGUUGUAGCGACUGCCAUUAAUAUAUAACAAUCUGUUAAUAUACAGCAACUAUUUGAUUUGAAUGAUUCAAAACAACUUAGUGCUUUAAGUGAAAAUAGGUUAGCUAACCUUCAGCUUCCAGCUGGAAUUCAACCAGGUCAAGUACAAGCAACAUUAGUAUAGGAAUCAAACGAUUGGCAUUAAACUGCAACACCAGAUCUUAGAAAUUAUUUUGUUUAUAAAUUGGUUCAAGCAGUAUUGGUUCAACCAUCUCACAAUCCACAAUCUAUGCUCAAGAAAAGAAUCCACAAUCUUGUAGCAUAUGCAAGGAAAGUUGAAGAUUACAUGUAAGGAAUAGAGAAUUCCAUAUAUUUACUUAUUGAAAAAAUACAUACAAUUGAAGAAGUAUUGUAGAAAGACAAAAACGGAAAGAACAACAACAGUUACAAGUCUAGCAUCAGCAAUAUCCACAACCUUCGAGAACUGAUUUUCCUUAUUUUUAUGUGGAUAGUUUAGUAAUAAAGUUUGAACUCAAAAAUCUCAAAUAAUUAUUUUGUAUCUUUUAUUUUAGUUUUUUAAUUUAUUACUUUUAGUACAUAUAUAUAUAAUAUAUAUUGGCAGCUGUUUUACAUUAAAAGUUGAUAUAUUAAUAAUUCUAUGAUGUUGUUGUGUUUUCAAUUGUAUAAUUGUGUAUCUAAUUAUAUCCAAUGAUUGUGAAAAAAUGGGGAAUUAAUAUUAAUUAAAAAUUUCUUCUGUUUAUUUUUUCCAAUUUACCACCUAAUUUUUCAAAGCUGUCACAAAAUAGAAAUUUUGAAGAACAUACACAACAUUCAUUCAGAAUCAUGAAAAUUUAAUUAAAAAAUUUGAACAUUUAGAUUCAAUUACAAAUUUUCUAGAUUUAAUAAAUAGAUGUGAAAAAAACUUGUAAUUUAAGUAUGUUGAAACAUUAAGUGAAUAAAUUUCAAAAUCUAUUUUUAUAAUCCCGAUUAUAGUAAAUAAAAGUGUGAUUAAUGAACAAGUAAAUCAUGUUUUUCAUGGCUGUAAAGAAAUUUGUUUUAAUUAUCAGAAGUACUGCCUGCUGAAUAAAAAUCGCCUAGGUGGUCCUAUAUGUAAGUUAUUAUGUCUAGUGAGAACGAUACAGAUUUCAACCCUAAACUAAGGAACGAUAAUAAAUACUUGACAUCGUAAAAACUCUUAUAAAAAAAAAAAAACAUUUACGUAUUACUAAGAGACUAUCAAAGGGAUUGUAAUAUUACAUAGUCGACAGAAAUAAA